UGGGUCAUCCCUCAUGGCUGUUUCUCUCUCUCUCUCUCUCUCUCUCUCUCUCUCUCUCUCUCUCUCUCUCUGUGUGUGUGUGUGUGUGUGUUUUUUUCCCUGUGAGUUUAGUUUAUUCUUUCUCAGUUUAGUGUUGUAUGCCUUUUCCUUUGCCUGCAAUAAAGCUGCGUUUUUUGAGUUCAUCCCUCGUAUCCGAGAGUCUGCAUUUUGUGUAUAACUCCUGCCUGCACACGUCCGAAUUUGGACAGAAUGACGCGACCACACAAGGGACCCAGCAGCACUCGCUCCUUCUGAAGAGCUCCGAGAGGAUCUCGGUCACUGCGUGGAUCAGCUAUGCAACCAGUGGCUGGGUUUUCCUGUGGAGGAGUAUCGUUGCAUUGUAGCUAGCCGGCUACAGCAAUUGAUUUCAGGUCUUCCUUGGCUACUGAAUUCUCUCCACCCGCUUAUACAGGACUUUCUUCUUAGUACACUGCAUCUCCACCCCCCAGCUGCAACCGCUCACCUACCCGGCCUGCCUAAAGAUUCGCUACCUGGUCUGCCAGUGGACUCGCGGCACAAACUGCCGGACGAAACGCCACCCAGCCAGUCGCCGCCUCCUUCUUCCCAGAGAAAGCGGUGGUCACGCCGCCGUCAUCCUUCGCUCGCCAAGCAAGCUCCGGUGGUCAGUAAAAGUGACUGUUUUACGCCACCCAGCCAGCUCAUGCCAGCACAGGCUUUUUACAAAGCACUGGGAAUAAUAAUUGUUCCACCCAGCAUCUCCACACCUCAGGAGGAGCAGCCACGUCAGAACUGCUCCACAUCACCAUCAGCUUCCCUUGCUGCUCCCACUCCUUCUGCCAGGAGGAAGCGACGUCCACGCUACUGGCAGUCAUCAACAGCGGGCUGGCAUCAUCACCGUCGUGAGCGGCCUUCUGAACUGUGUCACCGCCGUCUUCCACGCGGCCAGCCUCCGGACCAGCUCUGUUGCCGAUGAUGGAUAUUUAAAUCUCCAGGGGUCUACUAUUCCAUAUGCCUUAAGAAACAUGUUGAUGUACUGAGCCGAUUUACUUGCUGGAAUAAUCUAAAGCUGGAUCUAGGGUGCAGUUCAAGUCUCCAGCCAGUAUUAAAUCAUGUGACUCAAGAUCUGGUAGAAGGAGAAAAACGAUUGGUAAAGAAAGCUACAUUAUCCCAAUUGGGGCCAUAGACAUUAGCAAGAAUGGCUUGCUUAUUGAAAGUUUACUUUGUUUAUUUUGUUUAUUUUCGUUUAUUUUGUUGCGUUUAACUGGUCCUAGCCUCCAAAUCCUCGCAUUGUGCCUUUAGCAGGGUAAGCUCUUCUUUCACACUGGACAUGUCAGAUUCUAUAGCUGCAAUAGAGUCGGAAUUAGUAGUGACUCCCUUUUCCAACUCAGAUGUGUGGCUUUCAACCUUAUCCAGUCUUUUAUUGAGCCUCUCAACGACAUUACGCA
Oreochromis aureus is the source of this 1445-nucleotide long non-coding RNA. The record is from Ensembl. Lineage: Eukaryota; Metazoa; Chordata; Actinopteri; Cichliformes; Cichlidae.